AAGAACCUGUACUCGAUAGGGUU
This 23-nucleotide non-coding RNA is filed under the name Arabidopsis thaliana (thale cress). The record is from RNAcentral. Lineage: Eukaryota; Viridiplantae; Streptophyta; Magnoliopsida; Brassicales; Brassicaceae.